This 637-nucleotide ribosomal RNA is filed under the name uncultured bacterium. Its description in RNAcentral is "bacterial SSU rRNA". It matches the Rfam family "Bacterial small subunit ribosomal RNA", at positions 607 to 1244 of the family's 1533-position model. The record is from RNAcentral.
GCUCAACCGAAGAAGUGCAUCGGAAACUGGAAAACUUGAGUGCAGAAGAGGACAGUGGAACUCCAUGUGUAGCGGUGAAAUGCGUAGAUAUAUGGAAGAACACCAGUGGCGAAGGCGGCUGUCUGGUCUGUAACUGACGCUGAGGCUCGAAAGUAUGGGUAGCAAACAGGGUUAGAUACCCUGGUAGUCCAUACCGUAAACGAUGAAUGCUAAGUGUUGGAGGGUUUCCGCCCUUCAGUGCUGCAGCUAACGCAUUAAGCAUUCCGCCUGGGGAGUACGGCCGCAAGGCUGAAACUCAAAGGAAUUGACGGGGGCCCGCACAAGCGGUGGAGCAUGUGGUUUAAUUCGAAGCUACGCGAAGAACCUUACCAGGUCUUGACAUACUAUGCAAAUCUAAGAGAUUAGACGUUCCCUUCGGGGACAUGGAUACAGGUGGUGCAUGGUUGUCGUCAGCUCGUGUCGUGAGAUGUUGGGUUAAGUCCCGCAACGAGCGCAACCCUUAUUAUCAGUUGCCAGCAUUAAGUUGGGCACUCUGGUGAGACUGCCGGUGACAAACCGGAGGAAGGUGGGGAUGACGUCAAAUCAUCAUGCCCCUUAUGACCUGGGCUACACACGUGCUACAAUGGAUGGUACAACG